GAUGAACGCUGGCGGCGUGCCUAACACAUGCAAGUCGAACGGAGUCCAGCCUUAGAGACCUUCGGGUCAAAGAGGGGAAGACUGAGUGGCGGACGGGUGAGUAACACGUGGGCAACCUGGCUCAUAGAGGGGGAUAACAGAGAGAAAUUUCUGCUAAUACCGCAUAAGCACACACUGCCGCAUGGCAGAGUGUGAAAAGAGAAUCGCUAUGAGAUGGACCCGCGUCUGAUUAGCCAGUUGGCAGGGUGAGAGCCUACCAAAGCGACGAUCAGUAGCCGAUUUGAGAGGAUGAACGGCCACAUUGGGACUGAGACACGGCCCAAACUCCUACGGGAAGCAGCAGUGGGGGAUAUUGCACAAUGGGGGGAACCCUGAUGCAGCGACGCCGCGUGAGUGAAGAAGUAUUUCGGUAUGUAAAGCUCUAUCAGCAGGGAAGAUAAUGACAGUACCUGAAUAAGAAGCCCCGGCUAACUACGUG
Molecule: ribosomal RNA, 478 nt
Filed under: uncultured bacterium
Lineage: Bacteria
Description: partial 16S ribosomal RNA
Rfam family: Bacterial small subunit ribosomal RNA
Source: RNAcentral